Molecule: unclassified non-coding RNA, 335 nt
Filed under: soil metagenome
Description: partial contains 5.8S ribosomal RNA, internal transcribed spacer 2, and large subunit ribosomal RNA
Rfam family: 5.8S ribosomal RNA (bases 1-120)
Source: RNAcentral
GAUGAAGAACGUAGUGAAAUGCGAUAAGUAGUGUGAAUUGCAGAAUUCAGUGAAUCAUCGAAUCUUUGAACGCACAUUGCGCCCCUUGGUAUUCCAUGGGGCAUGCCUGUUCGAGCGUCAUUUGUACCUUCAAGCUUUGCUUGGUGUUGGGUGUUUGUCUCGCCUUUGCGUGUAGACUCGCCUUAAAAUAAUUGGCAGCCGGCGUAUUGAUUUCGGAGCGCAGUACAUCUCGCGCUUUGCACUCAUAACGACAGCGUCCAAAAGUACAUUUUACACUCUUGACCUCGGAUCAGGUAGGGAUACCCGCUGAACUUAAGCAUUCAAUAAGCGGAGGA